UAACAGGCCCGCAAGGGUGCUGACGAGUGGCGGACGGGUGAGGAAUACAUCGGAAUUUGCCCAGUCGUGGGGGAUAACGUAGGGAAACUUACGCUAAUACCGCAUACGACCUAACGGUGAAAGCGGGGGAUCGCAAGACCUCGCGCGGAUGGAUAAGCCGAUGUCGGAUUAGCUAGUUGGCGGGGUAAAGGCCCACCAAGGCGACGAUCCGUAGCUGGUCUGAGAGGAUGAUCAGCCACACUGGGACUGAGACACGGCCCAGACUCCUACGGGAGGCAGCAGUGGGGAAUAUUGGACAAUGGGGGCAACCCUGAUCCAGCAAUGCCGCGUGUGUGAAGAAGGCCUUCGGGUUGUAAAGCACUUUUAUCAGGAACGAAAUCUGCAGGGUUAAUACCCAUGCAGUCUGACGGUACCUGAGGAAUAAGCACCGGCUAACUUCGUGCCAGCAGCCGCGGUAAUACGAAGGGUGCAAGCGUUACUCGGAAUUACUGGGCGUAAAGGGUGCGUAGGUGGUCGUUUAAGUCCGUUGUGAAAUCCCUGGGCUCAACCUGGGAAUGGCAGUGGAUACUGGACGGCUAGAAUGCGGUAGAGGGUAGUGGAAUUCCCGGUGUAGCAGUGAAAUGCGUAGAGAUCGGGAGGAACACCAGUGGCGAAGGCGGCUACCUGGACCAGCAUUGACACUCAAGCACGAAAGCGUGGGGAGCAAACAGGAUUAGAUACCCUGGUAGUCCACGCCCUAAACGAUGCGAACUGGACGUUGGGAGCAACUUGGCUCUCAGUGUCGAAGCUAACGCGUUAAGUUCGCCGCCUGGGGAGUACGGUCGCAAGACUGAAACUC
This 838-nucleotide ribosomal RNA is filed under the name uncultured Lysobacterales bacterium. RNAcentral describes it as "bacterial SSU rRNA". It matches the Rfam family "Bacterial small subunit ribosomal RNA", at positions 70 to 902 of the family's 1533-position model. The record is from RNAcentral. Lineage: Bacteria; Pseudomonadati; Pseudomonadota; Gammaproteobacteria; Lysobacterales.